Armigeres subalbatus is the source of this 1179-nucleotide long non-coding RNA. RefSeq lists it as uncharacterized. The transcript has 4 exons. NCBI's taxonomy places the organism in Eukaryota, Metazoa, Arthropoda, Insecta, Diptera, Culicidae. The record is from RefSeq and is a predicted model, not a curated record.
AAUUGAUUUGAAAGUUUUUUUCCAGUUUCAAAUUUUUAUUUUUACAGUGGAAACACUCAAAACAAAAUUAGUAAAGUAGUCAAACAACUUCAGCCUUUCAUAUUUUUUGGCAACACCGACAGAUAGAAAUAAUGUAUCUGGCAGCCCAUCAGUGUCAGUGACAGCUGCAAACAAAGAAAAUAUCCAACAUCACCAGAGUUUUGUUAUUUUUCUGAUCAGGGAAGGAAUUGUGAUUGUCGCGGAAAGUAUCCAUAUGGCUAUAAAAACUGCGACAUCUUCAUCUACAGUCCCAUCCGUUCUUCUUGUUAGUGCUGCAGCAGUUGCACAAACGGCUCCUGUGAGAGCUGUUCCAGCAGAUUGCGAGGAAGCUGAUGAACGCCCUGCCCAAAGGAAACGCACAAGAAACCGCUCAGCAUAACUUCUCGAGAACCGUGACCCAACCUUUAUGUAUCCGUUGUUGAGAUAAAAGUAACAAGGCGGCCUUUACUUCCAUCUGGCUUCAAGGAUGUACAUUGGCGUGAAUGGAUAGAAGAGCUAAAGUGACAAAUGGUGACCCCGAUCGAUUGUUUUCUUAUCAGUCGGUUGUUACGCCAGACCCUACCAGGUCCAACCAAGCAGGAAGCCACCACGCCGAACGCAUUGAUGAACACUUUUCGAUGAUGAUUCUAGCGGGGCGGUUCCGUCGAGGAGUAUCAUCAAGUAUUCUGUAUUCAUUUCAACACCAUACUAAAAUGCACCAUACUAAGCGCAGGAAGAGGAGGAACGAAAAGGAGUCAGCCGUAAUCCACCUCUGAAGCAGCCACUGUUGCAUGGAAAUGUGGCUUUACCGGUAACGUCCGCUAUACGGAGGCGAACCGCAUAAUCAGCAACUAUCACGACAAUAGUAUCGUAUGUAUCGGCGGCAAUAUGUAUGCACUACAUCAAACGACGGACGGGAUGGUCAGAAUCAUCAACAUCAGAAACAACAAAUUCAAUCUACUUGAACCGAGGCGAUGUAGAAGCUGAGAAAAAAUCGGUGUUUCUGAUUGCGGAUCUGGGUUCGUAAACUUGCGGUGAGGUUAAGUUGCUUCCAAUGACAAUACUUCAGAGCAGAGCGAUAGCACGAAACGAAAAUCUCCGGCAUUUUAUGAUAAAAUUAAUUAAGAACACGUGAAUAAAUUAUAAUGAUUAAAUUUCGAA